RNAcentral lists this ribosomal RNA (305 nucleotides) under uncultured bacterium. Its description in RNAcentral is "bacterial SSU rRNA". It matches the Rfam family "Bacterial small subunit ribosomal RNA", at positions 335 to 658 of the family's 1533-position model. The record is from RNAcentral.
GCCCUACGGGAGGCAGCAGUAGGGAAUCUUCCACAAUGGACGAAAGUCUGAUGGAGCAACGCCGCGUGAGUGAAGAAGUAAUUCGUUAUGUAAAGCUCUAUCAGCAGGGAAGAAACAGACGGUACCUGAGUAAGAAGCCCCGGCUAACUACGUGCCAGCAGCCGCGGUAAUACGUAGGGGGCAAGCGUUAUCCGGAUUUACUGGGUGUAAAGGGAGCGUAGACGGCGAAGAAAGUCUGAAGUGAAAGCCCGCGGCUUAACCGCGGAACUGCUUUGGAAACUUUUUUGCUGGAGUACCGGAGAGGG